RNAcentral lists this ribosomal RNA (163 nucleotides) under Asarum celsum. RNAcentral describes it as "5.8S rRNA". It matches the Rfam family "5.8S ribosomal RNA". Rfam says of the family: 5.8S ribosomal RNA (5.8S rRNA) is a component of the large subunit of the eukaryotic ribosome. It is transcribed by RNA polymerase I as part of the 45S precursor that also contains 18S and 28S rRNA. Lineage: Eukaryota; Viridiplantae; Streptophyta; Magnoliopsida; Piperales; Asaraceae. The record is from RNAcentral. RNAcentral also lists the same sequence under 1 other name.
UCACGACUCUCGGCAACGGAUAUCUUGGCUCUUGCAUCGAUGAAGAACGUAGCGAAAUGCGAUACUUGGUGUGAAUUGCAGAAUCCCGUGAACCAUCGAGUCUUUGAACGCAAGUUGCGCCCGAGACCUUUAGGUUGAGGGCACACCUGCUUGGGCGUCAUGC